CAGAGUAGAGACUGGGCGUGGUUUAGACUCACCCAGCCGAUCGUUGAUUGUUGGCGCCUAGCUGGUCCCGCCCCCGGGCGCUCCAGUUGAGAGAUGUAACUGUUGCUGUGUAGAGUAUCUAUGCGCUCAUGCUCGACACCGUUAUCUCCCUCCUGUUAUCUGUUCUCGCAACACUACGUUCUGAAUGUGCCCCCCCAACUCAUUGCACAGUUCCUGUCUUCAUGUUAUUCUGUAUUUUUCCAUCAUGAGAAAGGCCCAUGGCCCUGAAACUGUUAACAAUGUUUCAAGUCAGCUAUGUUGCAUAACACAUACAUACAUCCACACAAGCCAACAGCAGAUAAUAUUCAAUCACAUAUAUGGUAACGGGCUAUAGUGCAUAACACAGAAUCCUCAUACUUCCUACUGUAACGGCGCUUUUUAAGGGCUUAAGUUACCUGCCUCUCAAGUUGCAACGCCUGGUGAAUGAUCUACCUGUGUAGUUCCAUGAAUCUAAGUCCUCUGCCCCUGUAUUGACCGAGUGCCUGUGUGUUUUAUUAAGUUGUUGGAAUGGCUGUUUUUGUGGUGUAGGGAGCUGGGCUUGGAUGAGCUGCUAAGGCACUGUGAGCGUGUGGUGGAGAAGCUGCGCUACCCUGAGAAUGACUCGUGCUAUCAGACAAUGGCCGGGACGGCCCUCUUCACCCACACAGCUUUCAAUAUGCUGCAGAACUACAGCAGAUAGCUUUUAAUCUGUUCAGUUAUCAAAAAGAGAAGCUCCAGACGUACAGAAUCGAGAUCGCUAAAGAUGCGAGGAAUGCUGAGACGUUAACAUCUGAAUUUGAGGCAUCCAUCUAUACACCUGCCAUGGCCGCUGUGCUGAGGAUGUGAUCCACACGUUAGCUGACACUCUGCUUCCUGGUGAUGCCCAGACCAGGGUAGAGUGGGUGCAGGAUCCGGACAGACUGAAGGAGAACAUCCACUCUGCUGUAGAGCACCCUCAUCAGACCCUCGGAGCAGUCGCCGACUUCGACCACUACUACAACAAAGCCAAUAGCUGGUACAGCAUCGUCCUGUGUGAGAACUUUCUCCAAGACCUUCUGUGGGGUGUGAACUGUGACAGCCUCCCCAAAUGGUACCACCCGCUGGAGAUGCAUGGCCCUGACCCUGUGUGGAGGCAGGCGGUCUGUGACUUCCUGAGAAGGAACCCCUCCCCAGACAUAGAGGAGCUGGUCCAGCUGGCUCACCUGGCCAAUGUCAUCCCUGACGCCCAGCUCUAGCAGAAGGGCAAACAGCUGUCACAAAGGUGCAUGACCCUGCGAAAACUCCUGACUUCUCCAGGGGCAGUACCUAUCAACAACUUCCAGUUGGCACUGCAGUGGCAGUAUGAGUUUCUGAGAGCCCGCCACAGGAAAGGGCCUGGGCCACACACUAACCUGGGUGUGGGUGGAGGCCCCGAGGCCUUUAACAGUCCAGACGGGGCAUUAUGUAGUCUCCAUAAAACCUCUGGUUCCAGAUCAGACUGAUAACCUGCACAGCCAUGGCUCCCUCUCUAACCUCAAACACCAAGUCCUUCUAGGUACGUCCCCCUCCAGUGCUAUCUCUGGGGCUGUGUCAGCUGUGGGGAAUACUCGCUCUCUCAG
This is a long non-coding RNA of Oncorhynchus tshawytscha (Chinook salmon), 1616 nucleotides long. NCBI's taxonomy places the organism in Eukaryota, Metazoa, Chordata, Actinopteri, Salmoniformes, Salmonidae. The record is from Ensembl.